ACGGGAGGCAGCAGUGGGGAAUAUUGGGCAAUGGGCGCAAGCCUGACCCAGCAACGCCGCGUGAAGGAUGAAGGUCUUCGGAUUGUAAACUUCUUUAAUCGGGGAAGAGAAAAAUGACCUACCCGAAGAAUAAGCCACGGCUAACUACGUGCCAGCAGCCGCGGUAAUACGUAGGUGGCAAGCGUUAUCCGGAUUUACUGGGUGUAAAGGGCGUGUAGGCGGCUCUGUAAGUCAGAUGUGAAAUCCCCGAGCUCAACUUGUGCGCUGCUUCUGAAACUGCAGAUCUUGAGUACUGGAGGGGCAAUCGGAAUUCCUAGUGUAGCGGUGAAAUGCGCAGAUAUUGGGAGGAACACCGGUGGCGAAGGCGGCUUUCUGGACAGUAACUGACGCUGAGGCGCGAAAGCGUGGGGAGCAAACAGGAUUAGAUACCCUGGUA
Molecule: ribosomal RNA, 436 nt
Filed under: uncultured Saccharofermentans sp.
Lineage: Bacteria; Bacillati; Bacillota; Clostridia; Eubacteriales; Oscillospiraceae
Description: bacterial SSU rRNA
Rfam family: Bacterial small subunit ribosomal RNA
Source: RNAcentral